This is a long non-coding RNA of Brassica napus (rape), 758 nucleotides long. RefSeq lists it as uncharacterized. The record is from RefSeq and is a predicted model, not a curated record. The transcript is spliced from 4 exons. NCBI's taxonomy places the organism in Eukaryota, Viridiplantae, Streptophyta, Magnoliopsida, Brassicales, Brassicaceae.
ACCCGUUUAGCCCGUUUAUUUUUUUUUUUCUGCUCUAAGCUACGUCGUUUCUGGCGUUAACAUCUUUAUUUGUCGUCGUUCUUCACCUCCGUGGCUCAUUGCCUCCUUCCAAAAUAUCAAACUGCUCCAAAUGAGUUUCUGAUUGGAAUCGGGAAGCUUCUAGGGUUUCGAUUUGUCUUUUGGCGUUCAUCUCGUGUCUUCUACUUCUUCUUCUUCACUCUCUCUUCCUCGCAUCUUUGAUACAGUCAAGGUCACCUAGCCUCUUCUUCAAGAGAUUUUUACAAGCACCAGCCCUGUUGAAAGCAGUAAACUCAUCAGAAAGGAUAAGCUUCUGAGUCUGCCUUUAGUGUUGGAUCCCGGGUUUUAACUCCUUACCGAAACCGUCUCUUGCCUAAAAAUGUCCAAGCUCUUCUUUGCACUAGGAAUUGGUUGCUAGGUUUUGCUGAAUACAAAGGUGCCAUUGAAGAUCUCUUUGAUGAAAAUGAAGAUGUUGGAAAGAAAGCAAGUAGUUCUGGAGUGGAAUCUUCAACAUAAAAUAUUGAUAUGUUCUGGUUAUUUUCAAUCAGUUUAUAAUUUGUUUGAUGGAAUAUGUAAUAAUAGGUUAUGCUUUGAUUAUGGACAGGUCCUACUUAUCCAAGAAGGAAAAGAGUAAUUUAUGGACACUUGCUGUGAACUUUAUAAUUUAAUUAUGUUGUCAUUUGUAAACUUUGAAUUUUUAGGUGAAACAAAACAAUAUAAUGUUCUGGACUUGUAUUUUA